GCCGAUGUAGCUCAAUGGUAGAGCAAUGGUUUUGUAAACCAUCGGUUGGGGGUUCGAUUCCCUUCAUCGGCUCCA
RNAcentral lists this transfer RNA (75 nucleotides) under Candidatus Cloacimonadota bacterium. RNAcentral describes it as "tRNA-Thr". It matches the Rfam family "tRNA". From Rfam's summary of the family: Transfer RNA (tRNA) molecules are approximately 80 nucleotides in length. Their secondary structure includes four short double-helical elements and three loops (D, anti-codon, and T loops). RNAcentral also lists the same sequence under 2 other names. Lineage: Bacteria; Pseudomonadati; Candidatus Cloacimonadota. The record is from RNAcentral.